This is an unclassified non-coding RNA of Pongo abelii (Sumatran orangutan), 148 nucleotides long. It matches the Rfam family "Metazoan signal recognition particle RNA". Rfam says of the family: The signal recognition particle (SRP) is a universally conserved ribonucleoprotein. It is involved in the co-translational targeting of proteins to membranes. The record is from Ensembl. NCBI's taxonomy places the organism in Eukaryota, Metazoa, Chordata, Mammalia, Primates, Hominidae.
GCUGGGCGUGGUGGUGCACGCCUGUAAUCCCAGCUACCUGGGUAGCUGAGAUGGGAGAAUCACUUGAACCUGGGAGAUGGAGGUUGCAGUGAGCCGAGAUCACGCCACUGCACUCCAGCCUGGGUGACAGAGUGAGACUCUGUCUCAA